AAAGGCAGAAGCUAUGAAUUUGUGCUAUUGUCUGUGGGCUCCUUUCAGUUCUCAAACAGUAGCUGCCACUUCUAGCUGGGAGAGAAAUGAGAGCUCUGCUCAUGGUGAUCCAGUAUCUCCAGAAUCCAUCACCACUGCUGACCUCCCACUCCAUGUCUCCAAGUGCUCUGCUAUACCUGCCACCAGCAGCUGCCACCUCCAGACUUUGGAAGGUUAUAAUAAAACCUCUGUUCUACGAUCUGCCUUCUGCUUCAACAUCCUCACUCCCCACAAACAAUUCUAAUAAACA
RNAcentral lists this long non-coding RNA (289 nucleotides) under Homo sapiens (human). Its description in RNAcentral is "non-protein coding lnc-ATP23-89:10". Lineage: Eukaryota; Metazoa; Chordata; Mammalia; Primates; Hominidae. The record is from RNAcentral.